AUUUACAACAAUUUUGCCCUUUUCAAGUCUUUCUUAGACAUCUCGGCAACCAUCCCUUUUAUCAAACCAAGUUUUUGAUUUCACAAUCACUAAAAUCAACCUAUUAAUCUUUAAUUAUCAGCACCUUCAUCCAAGAAAUUUAUCGAUUCUUUUGGAUGGGAUCUCACGAUCAAAACAAGAAGAAAAAUAUAUAGAUAGGUGUAUAUCAUAAAAGAUUAUAAAUCUUUUUAGGUAACUUCAGUAUGAUACAAUUACUAACUUGCUGAUUCACUAGAAGAAUCCUCCCAA
RNAcentral lists this long non-coding RNA (288 nucleotides) under Elaeis guineensis (African oil palm). RNAcentral's name for it is "long non-coding RNA (EGUI_LNC015690)". The record is from RNAcentral. Lineage: Eukaryota; Viridiplantae; Streptophyta; Magnoliopsida; Arecales; Arecaceae.